RNAcentral lists this ribosomal RNA (394 nucleotides) under uncultured bacterium. RNAcentral describes it as "partial 16S ribosomal RNA". It matches the Rfam family "Bacterial small subunit ribosomal RNA", at positions 523 to 918 of the family's 1533-position model. The record is from RNAcentral.
AUACGGAGGAUGCAAGCGUUAUCCGGAUUUAUUGGGUUUAAAGGGUGCGUAGGCGGAUGAUUAAGCGUGAGGUGAAAUGCCACUGCUCAACAGCGGAACUGCCUCGCGAACUGGUUGUCUUGAAUGCUCCUGCCGUGGGAGGAAUGUGUGGUGUAGCGGUGAAAUGCAUAGAGAUCACACAGAACACCGAUUGCGAAGGCAUCUCACGAAGGGGUGAUUGACGCUGAGGCACGAAAGCGUGGGGAUCAAACAGGAUUAGAUACCCUGGUAGUCCACGCAGUAAACGAUGAUAACUAACCGCUGGGUCGUAGUGAUUCAGUGGCCAAGCGAAAGCGAUAAGUUAUCCACCUGGGGAGUACGACCGCAAGGUUGAAACUCAAAUGAAUUGACGGGG